AUCUCUUCCAACAUGUCUG
Molecule: unclassified non-coding RNA, 19 nt
Filed under: Mus musculus (house mouse)
Lineage: Eukaryota; Metazoa; Chordata; Mammalia; Rodentia; Muridae
Description: oocyte_clustered_small_RNA13706
Source: RNAcentral